GCAAGCAAGCAAAUGGGAAGCCGAGACAGGCAGAAGGACCGAGGUACAAUCCGCGAUGCUGGUCAACCCGACCCUACAAACAAGUUAGGAAGCCGAGACAGGCAGAAAGACCGAGGUACGAUCCGCGAUGCUGGUCAACCAACUUGUAGAUCAAAAACUAUCGAGUGGAAAGUCGGAGACUGACCACUCUUGGUGGGGUAGAGCACAAUUGACAUGGAGAAUUCGGGCAGGUUAUUAAUUUAUCUUGGGAGGUCUUCCCUAGCGAGUGACCUACUUUGUUUUGGCCCUCUAUCGGUUGUGAAUCGAACCGAUGUAUUAAAUAUCUGAUUUUUCAUAGCCAUCAUGGUUUAUACGGGGCAUCCUUUUCGCAAAACAAGUGAAUGUUCCCUCACGGAUGAUCACCCAUACCUCUUUAUA
This 417-nucleotide unclassified non-coding RNA is filed under the name Athalia rosae (coleseed sawfly). RNAcentral's name for it is "misc RNA ENSAEAG00005009247.1". The record is from RNAcentral. Lineage: Eukaryota; Metazoa; Arthropoda; Insecta; Hymenoptera; Athaliidae.